Passer domesticus (house sparrow) is the source of this 7582-nucleotide long non-coding RNA. RefSeq lists it as uncharacterized. The transcript is spliced from 3 exons. NCBI's taxonomy places the organism in Eukaryota, Metazoa, Chordata, Aves, Passeriformes, Passeridae. The record is from RefSeq and is a predicted model, not a curated record.
CCUCCCCAGCCCGGGCAGGGAACUCAUCAUGGCCCUGGGCACACAAAGCCCCAAGAGACACCAAGUGCAGACCCAUCACUUGGGAACCUGGGAACCCCAGAGCUUCCCUUGACAUAGCAGGCACAAGUGCCCUCACACACAACUCUUGUCAAAUAUAAAUUUGAGUGACAUGACCCAUGGAUGUUUUCAUUAUACAGGUGUAAGCUUUCAUUUAUUAUUCAAAGUGGAACUUUUCUGCUACUAAUAUUGAUAUUUAUUACUGUGGUGGUGCAUCUCCCCCCCACCUUACUCCUUGCCAGGCUUCAGUGUGGUCUGAGAAAUACUUGUUAGCCCUUGGCCUUGACACAUCCCCAGGGAUCAGCUCUUUCUUUUUUUGGGUGAUGUCAAGCACACCCAUUUGUGACAAUUACUUCGGGGACAACAUGUCAUAUCAGCUAAUAUUUAUUUACUGAUUUAGUCAGAAAUAAAUCCACAGUGCUUGAAUGAUGCACAGAAAGUUGUAACAUCAUCCAGUCUUAAGGCCUACACUUACUUUACACCAGCACUGUCAUGCCUCACAGGUCUUUUGUGAAAAUAAAGAUGUGUUGGGGUUUCUCUUCUAAAUUAGGAACACUUCCAAAGAUCUGUUUAUUGACUGACAAAAGAUCACACACAACCAACUUAUGGUUUGCACAGCAGCAUAAAAAUCCUCAGGCGCAUACAAACUUCUUCUUACACCAGAGAUGGCUGAUCAAUAGUCUGGCUGAAGAUUGGGCAAGCCACUGUAAUCAAGAAUGCAAGUUUUAAAAUGGAAAAAGAAAAGUCCUUGAAAAACAGAACUUCUGAAGCUUAGCUCAUUCCACUCUAAUGUGCUCUCCCCCAAAAACACGUGAAGAUGUGCCUCUCCUGCCACUUGCUGCAACUGGCUACCCUAGCAUGACAGCCAUUCUGAGGGAAACUCUUUUUUGUAUGGGAUGUAGACAUGUCUGCAUUUGGAUGCCCUCCUGGGUACAAACCUCCUCCCUUGUUUUUUUCUGGUUGGAGAUCCUUGCUACUGCAUGUGAUGGAGCUGUUUCUUGGGAAGAGUUUCUCUGAUGCUGAUCACAGCACAGCGGGAGGUUUUUGCUCCCUUGGGCUUCUCAAAUUCUUUUUGGAUGAUCUCUUUACCAGCUGAGGGCUGACAGAGCACAGAACGUCUGAAUAAUUGCCUUUCUCUUCUCCACCCAUGACACAAGAGCCUGGCUACACUCAGAAAACAGUUUUCUGAACCAUCCUAUUUAAUAACAAACAAUGCCUUCUAUAUUCUGCCAUCUAAAUGAGGUCGCUAUUGAACAGCUUCAUGUCCCAAGUGUUACCUAGCAGGGAGGGAAGCAGAGCAAGACAGGAUCACAGCAGCCACUGAUCAGUCACUCACAGGCAUCACCAGGAAGAAACAGGAGAGAGCCAUGGAUUUCACAGGCUACUGUAUUUCAGCAACCCAUAUCAUAUGUCUCUUUUGAUGACAAGCUUCCAGUCUCAUCACACUGUUCACCUGAGGCACAUGAGUAGCUAAAAUGAAGAAUAGGAGAGAAAAUUUCUUCUGACCUCCAGUCACUUGAGCAUCAGAGAAGAAAAAACCUCUGCCCUGCUCGAAGGGAGGUGGUUUGUAGACUUACCUAUAACUAAAGCUAUUCUGAAAGCCCACAUUAUUAGACCCAGAGUGAUAAAGAGCCUAUGAAAUUGCUGACCUUGGGAAAAAGGCAGCUUUAAAUGAACUCUGCUACUCCUACUCUCUCCCCUUACAGCUUCAGAUUGAAAUGCUUAGGACCAGCUAAAGAAAAAAGUAAUUUCAUUCAUGCCCUGGUCAACCAUUUCUCAGUUUCUUGUCCCUCCCAAAGCACCAGCCAGUAAAACACAGAAAAAGCAAGAUACCCAUGGUAAGCUUUCAGUGGAAAUACUGGCAAAAUCCUCUUGGACUGCAGUAUUUGAAGAACCUGAGGUCAACUCACUCACUGUGAAUCACUGUUACUGCUCUGCUUAGCUGACCACCUCAGCUCAGCUCAGCUCAGCUUAGCAACCUCCCAGCUACUUUCAGCUCCGUAAGUCCAUGCAAUCAGAAAGGCAUGAGUCUUACAAAAAAAAAAAAAAACAGACAUGGGGAAUGAAGUGUGGAGAUUAGUCCACACUCUGAGGAACAGGCAACACUAACAAACAGUCUGGCAAUAGCUUGUGUCUAGAAGCUGUGUACCUUCAAAACCACCUCAGGGGUUUGAGACUUGUGCUGACUUGCACAAAGGAACCCACUCCACCCUGCAGCAGUGGGCUCCUUCUUUCCAGGCUGGAUGGAGACAUGCCCUGCAUUUUGCAAGCGUGUCCAGGUGUUCAGAAAGGAACAUACUGAUCAUAUUUAGCACCUUAAGGCAUGCAGCUCUUCCUUUCUCAAAGUAAGCUUUGUGAAAUUAUAGGUAGUGCUAUCCCUACCUUUCCCAACAAAUUACCCUCAUUAUAUUGCAGUUGCCUUCAAAAUACUGCCACUCCUCUGUUUCAGACUUUGCUUCCCUCAGAAGGAUGCAACAAAUAAUUGGAGCAGUUGCAAGGACCUGCACCUGCAACUUUCAACUAACUGCAUCUUCAGAAAGGGUUCUGGCAACAGGCCAUUUUUUGGACAUGAAUAUGCAUGCUGAGGCAAGACAGAUGACUUUGCUACAUCUUAUAGCCCAGAUCUCUGUGGCUGGAGUCACAGUUCUUGAGAUAAAAUGAAAAAAAAAAAAAAUAAAAAUCAGGGAAUGUAUUUUUGUCAAAUGACAAUGAAUUAAAUCUAUUGUGGGCUCUCAUUCUUUUUAAGAGCAGAGUUGCAUAUACCUGAAAAACAGGUUUGUAAAGGAAAGGCUUCCAGACACUACUUUAUAAGAACAAUAACAGGCACCACUGUGUUGAAGGCACAGAUAACAGCCCAGUUAAGGAGGGUUUUCUUUCAUUGUAGUCACACACAAUUUAAAACCAGCUCCUUACUUGCUUUGUCAUGUUCAUUGUGAAUUUUUCCUUCUAGGAAAAUGUAAAUAAUUGUUUUCUAUUUAGGUUUCUCAUUAAUUUGCUGUUACUUUGUAACCAUUGCUAUUCACAAAUUAGAUUCUUAACCAUUGAAAAUAUGAAGAACAUCAUGGUUUCGGUGGAAGAGAGUGAUGUCAAAAAUAAAAAAAAAAACAUGGAUUGUUUUUACUAUUCACAUCUAUUACUAUUUUGACAAAUAAAUUUUAUUGUAGUUUGACUUGAUAUUUGAUUUGAAUUGAUAUUACCUGUAGAUUUCAUAGGUCAGCAUAUUCAUUUAUUUUUCUUUGGUUCUGCCAAGAAACCCACUCAUCCUAAUUCUUAAUAACAACACCUUUCAUCUUUUUUUAUGUUUUGUAAGUUAUGAGCGGAAAACAAAUUGUCAGUGAAAAAUGUUACUUCCUUACUAUUCUCUAUUUCCCCCCUUUCUUUCUUCCUCAGCACAACUGAAACAGUUGAUUUAGUUCAGUAGUUCUGGAAACAAAGAUAAAAACUGUCUUAACAAUCCUGAUAGCCAUCAGUUGUUCAGCAGAUAUUACAAGACUGUCUUAUCUCCUAAUUAAUCAGGAAAGCACAAGUUGCACUUUCUGGGCUUUCCUGAAAUGCAGUGAAUUUCUGUUUUAGUUGUGCAUACAACUUUUGAUUCUAGAGAAGCAAGAUGAUGGUGGGAAGAUCUUCCAUGGAAACCACUAUGCAGCUUCCUGACCAACAAGUUUCGAAGUCUCUGAUCCUGAAAUCUGACUUCAUUAAGGGUAAAUACAAACAGCUACAGUGCUACAAUGAAGCCAGUGAAGGUCUUCUUGAGUCUGUGCAUUGUAAUAGAUGAUGGUAAUGGGAGAGCUAAAAUAAAAUGCUUGCAAAUCCACAAUAUAAAAUCAGCAUAUGAAAAGGAAAGACCUGAAAGAUUUAAGAGCCUGUAGGAACAAAACCUGAUGGCAACUUGUUUCAUCACUCUCAAAACCUAUAGUAAAAUUUUAAAAAUUGUUCUCAUGAGGUACUAUGAAGGUGAAGGUUUAAAUGUGUGAAGAGAAAGGAGGAGGUGUUAGGGAUGGCAUAAGUGUGCUGGAUUAAGUGAUUUGGCUCCUAAGAAGCUGUGUUGAGUGAUGAGGAAGGGACAAGUAAAAAUGAGGAAUUUCAUUCUAGCCAAUGAAACAUUAAGCAGAAGAAAUGAAACAUUACAUGAAGAGUUCAUUCUCUUGCAGCUUGAUCCCUCCCUGCUGAAUGUAAGGGCAAUAAAUACUUCAGGGUUUUCAGGAGAGAAUGCACUGAAAAUUUUUGUUCCAGGAACUGUUGUAUUCUUUUAUCAGUGAUGAUGUGUGCUGCACGUAAACAGUUGCCAGGAAGGGUAAAGUGAUAAGAAAAGGUUAAAUUUACUGAUGAAAAAAAAUUGCACAGUUAAGGCUUAAAGAAAUUCAAGUCUGAGACAUUAUUUUGAGCUAAUGCCAGCAUGUUUCCUUCUUCAUAGUCUGAGAAGAGCCACCUUGUUGCUGUGCUCACAUAUUUUCAGCUUUUGGGAUAGAAACCUGCUCCUUUAGAAAGGAUCUAAAAGAGCCUCUACUAAACCUGAAUAGAGCUUUUGCUCUGCUAUUUCUGAACACCUUGUUCUUAUGAGGAAAAGUUUUUCUGUGAAAGGAGAUCUAGGGAACUUCUAGGCCAUAAUGGAGAUGGGAGUGAAACAAGAUUGAAGUACAGUAGGGAAAAACAAUUUAUUUGCUGUAUUCUUUAUGCUCAGAUCUUUCUGAACAAAUAACUGUGUAUGCAGAAGCAGCCAAAUCAACCAUUUGGUCUUGACUUCUUCCUUCCUCCUGUCUUGGAUAAAAUGUACAACAAUGAGCAUGAGGGAGGCCGGGAAAUGGCAGAUGUAAUAGUGAGUUGCUGUCAUGCUUCCUAUCCCUUUCAAAAGUGUGGCAUAAUAGUAUCUGAAGGCCUCUGAUUGUUGAGUUGAGACCUUCAACAUGGCUAUCUUGCCUUUAGGACACUCAGAGUUAUGAAGGAUGGGUAUCCACAUUGUCACAAUGGCCCUUUCUCGGUGAUUCUUCCUGAAGGGGAGUGUGACUCAGCCAGCCUGAACAUUUCUCCCUGCAUUUGCACCCAUGAAACACAAUGACAAUGGAGCAGAUGCAGCCUUUAUGAGAUUUGACCUGUGAUUCAUAAGAGGUGAUCCUCGCUUUCCAGUCUGCUCCUCUUCCUGAAGCCUUCCUGCUCAGAUUUGAUUGAUCACUGAAUGCAUUUUCCAGAUAUGCUUUUUUGCUUUUAUUUCCUCUCUCCUUAUGCUUCCUCAUUUCUGAAAUGAAGCAAUGAGGGGGAAGAAAUGAACUGUAAAAGAAGCACAAAAGCAGAGAUUUGUUGAAUGACUACAGCAUACUCAAGGAGCCUUCAGGUAAGAAUGGAGUAAUUGGACAACAAAAUAUCAUAUGAUUUCAGGACACGAUGUGACAAGCAUUCAAAUGACCUUGAAUUAUACGUAUUCAGAUCCUUCUCUGGGACCUCUUUCUGUAUCAUUUAGCUCAAAAUGAAAUAUGCUUUGUUCCUUUAGGCAUACAGGGGUUUCUCAGAUAUCCUUCAGGCUGUGUUUAGAAGGAGGGGAGGAUACACAUUUGUAGCCUGUCCUGGCAAGUGUGACAGGUCUGUGACUGCCCUCAUAGCUGCUCAGUUUCCUCUUCCUCUCAUGUGGUUUUUAUAGAUCUGCAUCCAGUCCAGCUUUUCUCAGCUCACCAGUCUUCCUGAACAUAUGUCCCAUUGGGUCCUUGACUUUCAGUGCGUUCCAGGAAAUGGUUUUGGUUUUAGAGUUGCUCUGAGUUUUUAUCUUCUUGCAAAAGUUUAGGCUACCAUAGUACUUCUCUGAAAAUUCAGACAAAUGAAAGGAUUGGAAAUAAGGCAUAAAGAAUACAAGACCAGUGUGGUGCCUGAGAUCUUUCCUGUAUGUUGUAUAUUUCUUAACCAGGAGACAUAGAACCUCUUCCUUUUCCUUUUUCUGAGUCCUCUGGUUAGGCUGAAAGAAAUCUCUCUGCAACACAGGGUUGCACACAGUGUGAGAGUCUCAAAACUCUGUGACUAAUGAAUAUGCAGGGGAUGGGAAUUCUGACUAAUGAAGAUGCAGGGGAUGGGAAUUCCUUUCUAAUCACAAUGUGAAAUCCACGACAGCUUUUAAAGAAACAUUUUUAGAGAUAGGCUGAUUAGUACUGCUCUGUUGCUUAGAAAUGUCUAAGAAGUAGACUGUAUCUAGAUUAUUUUAAAAUGUGUUAGUCUGUCAAACUGUAUGGAGUAUCCAAAAUGUGUUUUGUAUCUGUGUAAUUACAAAUAACACCAAAUAUGAGAUGCAUCACUUGGGUGUCUCUACAUUGUGUUGGCCACAUAGGACAUUCAUUUUCUUAAUGUUUCUUUUUUGCCGAAGAUUUUAUUUUACAUACUGUGACAGAUGAGUAAUGCAAUGGUUGACUCUCACAAUUAAAAAGCAAAUAUUAUCUAUACAUGUUAAGAGAAGUUUUACAGACUUAUGUUUUACCCUGCUUGCCUUGUCAGGGGGUGGCCUGGGUUCGGGAGGGUUGGCUUGUUGCUAUGGCAGCAAGCAACUGGCUUCCAAUCACGAUUUAAGGAAGUGAACUCCACCACUGGACAGCAAAGAAGGAGUUGAAGGACAGAACUUUGGGAGGGGCUAAAGGGUUAAAAGGUGAAACCUCCAUUAUGUGGAUGAGCACAUGGUGGGAAAGAUCCUCUGCUUCUGGAGCUGUAGUAUUUUCUCUAUUUAGUCUUCUGUUAUAUUUUUGAUAAGGUUUUAAUAAACCUUCUUAAAUUUGUGGAAGUGACAUGUCAGAAGAAUGCCAGCUUGGUGCUGCUUUUUUCUUGAGAACAAGAAAACCAGUUCCCUGAUGGAGACCUCAUGGAAAAGUUCUGCAUUGAUUCCUUUCUGCUUAAUUCUGGCUAGUGAAGAUGAGAGCUGCCUGCCAUCCAUUCCCACCCACCUGGUGAUGAGGGAGGUAAAUUUUGACCUUCCCUCAUCACAAAAGCCUGAACACUUUCCAGAAAUGCAGUUGUCUCCAUGAGGGACACUGACCUGUGUCCUCCUGCAGGAGAGCAGGAGGGGUCUGUGCCCAUCACAUGUGAAACAGGAGCACGCAGAGCUCGGGGAUACAAACUCAGGUGUAAAGCUGAAAAUGGAACAGCUUCAUGACCAGGAACCCAAAUUUGCACAAAACACUCCAGAGCAGCAGUGUGGGAAGACCCAUGGAGCACCAGGCUGUGAUUUGAAGCCGUAGUUUUCCAUGUGGAAGCUGAAGUCUGUGCUGUGAUCUGCAGUGUAAUGGGGAGAUCUCCAGCCUGCAUGGUGCCUCAACCCAGAGAUGUCCCUGUCACACAGAACACACACCUGGCUGUACUGAAAGCAGCUUGGUUAAGCCAGCCAGGCCUCAUUCUCCUGGAGUGACCAAACAUGUUGCAGUUCUGCUCCCACCCUAGUCCUGGACUUGCAAUGAGCUCAAUUUACCCUACCUGCAGUAUGGGAAUUAUGGUUCUUGUUUAAAGUUCUCUGUGAUCUGCAGCUAGCUGUGCACUGUUGGUUUCUUUGUUCCCUGCUCAA